UGCAGCAAUACCCCAUCUGAUUAUUGGGUCUCAUGGCGAUUGCAUUUUCAGCACUGAAGAGUCUCCAUUGACUGCCCAGGGGCGGAGACAUUUGGGCCAUCAGUCCACCCUCUUUGAGUGACGGAGGCAUCCCUGUGAGUGCAGUAGACGGGGCCCGUGACAGGAGGAGCCACGCCGUGACACAACCCCUCACAGGAGGAGAAACUCUCCGUUGAGCUCCAGGACUGGCAGACCCAUGGGAGCCAGCACUCGGCUAACACCAGCAAAUAGGAUGACAUUAUUGUGUAAUGACGUGUGGGCUUUGGUGCAGUCUGCGUAUUACACCACAGGACCAAAGGCCAGAUUGAGAGAAACAGAAAGUCUGCAGAGAACCCUGCUCUGUGCU
This is a long non-coding RNA of Sinocyclocheilus rhinocerous, 385 nucleotides long. RefSeq lists it as uncharacterized. The transcript has 3 exons. Lineage: Eukaryota; Metazoa; Chordata; Actinopteri; Cypriniformes; Cyprinidae. The record is from RefSeq and is a predicted model, not a curated record.